RNAcentral lists this ribosomal RNA (400 nucleotides) under uncultured bacterium. RNAcentral describes it as "bacterial SSU rRNA". It matches the Rfam family "Bacterial small subunit ribosomal RNA", at positions 975 to 1375 of the family's 1533-position model. RNAcentral also lists the same sequence under 1 other name. The record is from RNAcentral.
CUACUCUUGACAUCCACGGAAUUUGGCAGAGAUGCCUUAGUGCCUUCGGGAACCGUGAGACAGGUGCUGCAUGGCUGUCGUCAGCUCGUGUUGUGAAAUGUUGGGUUAAGUCCCGCAACGAGCGCAACCCUUAUCCUUUGUUGCCAGCGAUUCGGUCGGGAACUCAAAGGAGACUGCCGGUGAUAAACCGGAGGAAGGUGGGGAUGACGUCAAGUCAUCAUGGCCCUUACGAGUAGGGCUACACACGUGCUACAAUGGCGCAUACAAAGAGAAGCGACCUCGCGAGAGCAAGCGGACCUCACAAAGUGCGUCGUAGUCCGGAUCGGAGUCUGCAACUCGACUCCGUGAAGUCGGAAUCGCUAGUAAUCGUGGAUCAGAAUGCCACGGUGAAUACGUUCCC